Molecule: ribosomal RNA, 403 nt
Filed under: bacterium
Lineage: Bacteria
Description: partial 16S ribosomal RNA
Rfam family: Bacterial small subunit ribosomal RNA
Source: RNAcentral
UGGGGAAUAUUGCACAAUGGGGGAAACCCUGAUGCAGCGACGCCGCGUGAACGAAGAAGGUAUUCGUAUCGUAAAGUUCUGUCCUAUGGGAAGAUAAUGACAGUACCAUAGAAGAAAGCUCCGGCUAAAUACGUGCCAGCAGCCGCGGUAAUACGUAUGGAGCGAGCGUUGUCCGGAAUUAUUGGGCGUAAAGGGUACGCAGGCGGUUUAAUAAGUCGAAUGUUAAAGAUCGGGGCUCAACCCCGCAAAGCAUUGGAAACUGAUAAACUUGAGUAGUGGAGAGGAAAGUGGAAUUCCUAGUGUAGUGGUGAAAUACGUAGAUAUUAGGAGGAAUACUAGUAGCGAAGGCGACUUUCUGGACACAAACUGACGCUGAGGUACGAAAGCGUGGGGAGCAAACAGG